RNAcentral lists this transfer RNA (71 nucleotides) under Corallorhiza maculata var. mexicana. RNAcentral describes it as "tRNA-Gly". It matches the Rfam family "tRNA". Rfam says of the family: Transfer RNA (tRNA) molecules are approximately 80 nucleotides in length. Their secondary structure includes four short double-helical elements and three loops (D, anti-codon, and T loops). Further hydrogen bonds mediate the characteristic L-shaped molecular structure. tRNAs have two regions of fundamental functional importance: the anti-codon, which is responsible for specific mRNA codon recognition, and the 3' end, to which the tRNAs corresponding amino acid is attached (by aminoacyl-tRNA synthetases). tRNAs cope with the degeneracy of the genetic code in two manners: having more than one tRNA (with a specific anti-codon) for a particular amino acid; and 'wobble' base-pairing, i.e. permitting non-standard base-pairing at the 3rd anti-codon position. The record is from RNAcentral. Lineage: Eukaryota; Viridiplantae; Streptophyta; Magnoliopsida; Asparagales; Orchidaceae.
GCGGAUAUGGUCAAAUGGUAAAAUCUCUCUUUGCCAAGGAGAAGAUGCGGGUUCGAUUCCCGCUAUCCGCC